CCAGGGGCUGAAGCUGGACCAGAGGCACAGAAGAGGCAUUAGAGACAGAAACAUAAAGACACGUCUCAAGGAGUUCUGCUUUACACAGGAGUUGAGGCAGAGGCUGCAGGGGAAGUACAGUCAAGAAAGGAAACCACCUUUUCAGGAGAUAAUCAUGAAAUCAGCUCCUGUGCAAAGAAGAUGAGAUUAACAGAAUGCAGCAGACUUGAAGUGUAGAAAACAGAAGAGAAUGGGAGAUAAAACAAAUAGAGAUUACCUUCCAGGGGGCAGGGGGUGUACAUAACAUACCUUAAAACAUAAAAACAGAAAGACAAACCAAAAGAGUCACUGUUAAAUAUGAGUGAAUUUAAUAUGACCACAGGAAAACAGUCCUGAACAGGAUCUUUUUCAGACUAUGGUGAAAAUAUUUUCUUUCCACAUGUAUUUUGUUCCCCAGAUGAUGAGACUCUUAAAUAUACCCUAGAAAAGAAGUUCUUUCUACAAAGCAUCCCCUUCAUAACUGCCUAUCAUGACACAGCAACCAAGAAACACAAAGCUUGUGCUGGGGACAGUCAACUGGUGAUUUCCUGCUAGACUUUCUCAACUCACAGGAUGAUGAAAUGGCCUGGUGUUGCAAUGCAGUUAUGACUUUGGGUGAAAACACAGGGCAUCCAAGACAGAAGUGGCCAAAGACAGUGGUGCCCAGCAAGAAGUUGUUCCUACAAAGGAAAUUGCAGUUUCUAAGAUGAAGAGGAAGUCAAGAGGGAGAAUUAAGUGUCUUAAGAACUUGAGAAAAUACUGAAGAAACUACUUGUGGUCUCACAUCUAUUUAAAGCCUUACAUAGUAUAUUCAGGUUAUCAUUAGUUAUAAAUUUGAAACUUUGCCAAUGCAGUUUAGGGUAAAGCUCACCCACAGAAAUCAAAUCAUGUCUGUUAGGGGCUGCUGUUCUCUUCUAUUCCUUGCAGAAAGCUCUUCUGGAAAAAUGUAUGGUGAUGAUAUUGACUGAAGGGACAGAGGAAGACCACUCUCACUCAUCUGCCCCUACACAGUUAAGAGUCCUGGUCAGAUUCCUCUACAUUUUACAAUGCCCUGCAUUGCCCUCUUCACACACAAACCCUCACACAAUAAGCAUCUAGUCUCUGUAAUAAAUGGCAACUUCUAGAGUUUAUUUCCACUUGCCUGUAAAAUGUACCCAAGUCACAAAGACCACACUACUAGUCAGUUCCUUGGCAUUAAAUGAAUUAACACAAAUUAUCAUUUUGAAUUUAAUACAACUUUCAUAAUAAGGUCUAAGGAACCUCUGGUAGAAGUUGUUCCUAUCUCCUCCAUCUGUAAACAACAGAAACUCAAUGGAAACUUCAUAUCCCACCCCCCCAUCUCUCUUUUUAAUUUUUUUUACCAUGUCCAGAAUUCCUUUCCUGAUGCUUAGAAAUAUUCACAGAACAGACCUUUUCCACCAUCAAGCAAGAAACAGUAUUGCAUAUAUGUUUUUAGUCAAUAAUAGGCUUUAAAAAUAUUUAAUAGUGGUAUUAACAAGGAGACUAUUAAGUUUUUCAUAAAAGACCACAUGUGACUUUUCCUGUAUCUAGAGUGUGUGACCACAUCGAUUUUCUAUCAAGACCCACAGCAUGUUCACCUCUGCAAGACGAUGUGAGGCACCAAGGACCUGCUUUUUACCCUAAUUUCCGAAAUCUUGUUUGGUACUAUUUCACUCUAAAUGAACUGCACUCAAGAGUGAGAUCUCCCUCACAAAACCACCUUUCCGACGUCUCAACUCCUUUUGACUCUGUUAAUAACCACUGAUAUCACCAUCCUACAAUUUCUAAUUUGGCUUUGGAAUCACUGUGUUCUUACAAUCUCCACCUGCCUUUCUCACCUUCAUUCACUUAACAAACACUGAUGAACAACAAGUGCUCUGCUCGACGCUGCGGCACAAACACGAAGACAGACGUGGGCUAGUUAUGGACAGGGAAUCAUCUGUUACAACAGAGUGUGCUACAUGCCAUGGAAGGAGGAAGGACAAAGUGCUAUAAGCCAAAAAGGAAGGCCAUCUCAGACUCCUUCACACGCUCUGACGUACAAAACUGGGACCUGGGGCUCCCAACAAGCAGACGCCUUGACUGUGGUACUUUCCAAAGGAGAGAUGCUGUCAACGUUUGGGACUAACAGUGUUCCAACACAAUGACAACAGAGGUGAUAUGAAUACUUCAUCUAAUGUGCCACAAAUAAUAUAAAAACAGUACUCUACUAAAAAUCUAUAGAAGUAAAAUGCCUCAUUCUCAUUACCAGAUGUCCAGGAAACCCCACUCACACUGAGUUAAUGUCUUAAGAUGAAAAUAAAUUGUACAAAAAUGUUAAUUCUACUACCUCCAGCUAGAGAGACUAUAGAAAAGUUGUGAUUAUCAGUUAAUAAUGCAGAGAAAACUCAAAAAAAAGAGGUGUGUGUGUAUCCUACAUCCUAACUUCUUAAACAUAAAUAACUAUGGGCAGGACAAAAACCCAUAAAAAAGAAAGAAAUAUAUUACAUGACAACAAAAUCUUUAAAAUUUUCCUACUGAUAUAAAGGUGAGAAAGUGCUCUAGAACUGAGAAAUUCUUAUGAGACAAUCUAAGCCAAUGACAUUCCAUAUUUACAGACAACUACAGAGAGCACAGGUGUGAAUGUAUUUAAUCAUCUUCUCUUCACAAGACUGCUGUGGGGCAGAUAUAACGAGAUCUUAGCCUUAAACCUUCAUCUUAAAUUAAGAAAAUCUGUGUUAGGUCCUGUCUCCUGCCACCACAGGAAAAUGGGCCAAACUCAGGAGUGAACGUACCUGUAAACCUAUCAUUUUGGACAUACAGUUAUUUGGGAAAAAAAUAAGAUAAUCACUCAAUAUUUAUUUCUUUAAAAUUAAAAAAUAAAAUGAAAUGGUCUGCCCAAAGCCCAGUUUACUUGUUAACAGAUCUGAUAAAUAAGGAUGGCAAUUCUUACCAGGGUGGAGAGCAAAGACUGUCAGAAUAAAAUACGUGUAAGCCACGAACAUUUUAGUGAGUAAACACUCACAAAUCCACUGAAUCACAGAUACGCAUAUUUAUAUUUAAUGUCCUCUAAUAUCAUUUACUAACCUUAAUGCGGCUUUAAAACACUACAUCCUCAACACAUAAGAAAUCUCCUUUCCUUUCUUUCUCAUUUCCUCCCCAAAUUUUUUUCAGAACUCCAAAUUCCAGAUUUCAAAUCUCUUUCUUACAAGUAAAAAAAACAAAGGCACAUAUUUAUGGAAAUGAGUUUGAGGCUCUUCGAGCCUUCCUUCUUAGACGCUCAGCUCAGUAAAAGCAGAAAUCAUAUGGUGAGGAAAAUAAAUGCUAUCUUGCUCCAUCAUACCACAGAAAGAAUGCAACCCAUACCAAAGUGAAAUGAUGCAGUAAAAAUAAGAUAAAGGAAAGAAGUUUGACUUAAGCAAAUGCCCUCCUUCUCUUGGCCUUCCUAAACCCCUCCACACUCAGUGCUUUUUUCACGUAGACAUCCUAGAACCUAGUGGGAUAUCGUUAAGAACUAUAAGAUACACACUGAGCAGAGCAGUGCACUGACGUCUCCAACACAGGCAAGAUAAGCACAAGUUCUGACUGGUGGCUAGGGAGUGGGUGUUGGGACGUGGAAACACAGUGGAAUGAUUUUCCCUCCCUUAGAUCCAAAUAGCAAGGUGUGUCAAGGCCCAGAAAUUUGGAUGGAAGACUCUAAGUAAAAGAUGAACAAGAAACAUGUUAGUAUAGAAAGUUUAAUGUGUUCCCUCCCUUACAAUCCCCGUUGAUAAAUUCACAUUUCCCCCUAUUCCUUAAUUUCCUACUUAUUUAAGAAUCAAAACCUUUUACAUGAGCACUCAACUUAAACUGAUGAGAAUACAAGGGGAUUCUUCUCUUAGGACCUAAAUCAAAGAUUCCAUUGUCGUCCUCAUCUGCCCUUUACCAGCAGAGUAAUGCUGGGCAAGGUUUUAAUUUGAGACUCAGCCAAAUUUUCCCACAGGCACAAUAGAGACAGUAAUGCCCACCUCAACAGGGCCACUGUGGAAACUGAAUGACAAAAAUAUACAUAAGCAAGAUCCUCUAGGACUCUGUAUAUCAGUUAGAAACCCACAUAACAGCAGAUGUCCUUACUGUACAAGUUUUAAAAACUGAAGUUCAACAUCCAAAUUUUCUAGGGCUUUAUGUAUAUACUGGUCUUAUUUUAGGUAUCAGAUGCAACCCUUCCCUGCCCCACCUACCUCAAAUGUGCUGUCUACUCAGGAAUGUUUUUCAUUACAAUUUCUCCUGGAAAUAUACGUUAUACAGAUCAUUACCACACGUUCAACCUAUGGGACGCAUUAGCUUUGUUAAUGAGCUCUCUACUUGGAAUUUAAUUAUCAUAUGAAAUUUUGGUAAUACAUUUUCAAAUAGCCAAGCCAUGUGAUCAUGCAUGCUUAUUACACAGUCAUUUCUUUAACUCUUUUCCUUAAUUAAGUACAGAAUCUUUCUUCACUUAGUUUUUCUCACAGAUGAAAAUUCCGAUGGUAUCAGGACACAUAUUUUGUUAAGCAUCCUCCACUACGAUAUGAAAGUUUCAGUACUGACAGACACUCAGAGUGAGAAAUCAUGGUCUGAUCCCUCAACUUUGUCCUGUCACCCUCAUUAUAGGCGUAAAACUGUCUGAUAAAAGUAGAGAAAUUUAAGGGAAUAAAUACAGAAUAAAAAAUAUAAUAUCACCGAUUCUAUUUUCAUGAGAACUGAAUGUUUACAACAGUUAUAUUUAGUUCUGCUUUCACCACAGAUACAGGUAUUUAACUCAUGAGUAUAUGAGUCUUGCCAGCAGUGUUUUCAAAAAAUCCCUGCCACUACCCAUCUGCCUGUCUUACCUCUACUCACUCAUUCACGAUGAUCCAGGCCCUCAGGAAACUUCAGUCCAGUUGGGGAGAAAGGUGCGUAAGGCAGUGCUUACUGGGAGCUAUGACAAAGGACACACUGGGAGCAAGAAGGGCACUGUGGUGACGUGAUACCCAAACCCUAGCUUUCGACUAGCGCUACAACGUGUCUCCUGAGGAAGGAGGGGAAGGAAGUAGUAUACUCCUUCCAGCAUUCAACAUUCUAAGGCUUUCUGAGAAAUUUAUGUGUAUUCAAUCUGCAUUAACAGUAUUUAAUACUGUUCAAAGGUCCUUGGAAGAGCAAUAAAUUAGUAUUUUUGCCAAAGGAAGAUUUGAUGGGGGAAAAAAAGUUUCUUCUGUUCAAGCUUUACUGGAAGCCCAGCGAAAGUAACCCAUGCAGAAAAAUGCCUGAAAGAAAUGUUUAUAUUAUAGCUUUUGCUAACAUGUUUGGUUUUAAAUACUUAAUAUAAGCCUGUAAAAGCAUAUGUGUAUGAUUUAUUCGCUUUAUUUUUUGAUAUAAAAUAUGUUCCCAUACCUAAA
Delphinapterus leucas (beluga whale) is the source of this 5390-nucleotide long non-coding RNA. RefSeq lists it as uncharacterized. The record is from RefSeq and is a predicted model, not a curated record. NCBI's taxonomy places the organism in Eukaryota, Metazoa, Chordata, Mammalia, Artiodactyla, Monodontidae.